ACCCGGGUCCGGGCCCCUCUGGCGAGCCGACAUGCCGGCCACCUCGCGAUGUCGGACCGUUUCA
Molecule: regulatory RNA element, 64 nt
Organism: Aureimonas sp. Leaf454
Lineage: Bacteria; Pseudomonadati; Pseudomonadota; Alphaproteobacteria; Hyphomicrobiales; Aurantimonadaceae
Rfam family: terC RNA
Source: Rfam